This is a long non-coding RNA of Bombina bombina (fire-bellied toad), 4934 nucleotides long. RefSeq lists it as uncharacterized. The record is from RefSeq and is a predicted model, not a curated record. The transcript has 3 exons. NCBI's taxonomy places the organism in Eukaryota, Metazoa, Chordata, Amphibia, Anura, Bombinatoridae.
GGCAACAGGAAGCUUCAUCAAUGUGAUGUCAUAGAUUGCUGAUGAUGCUGUGGCUGUCAAAUCUUCUCCGUCAGACAAACCAAAGCAGUGCAGGUGCAAGCAGCACAAUGAUUCUAUCAGCAAAUAGGCAACAGAAAACUUCACCAGUGUGAUGUCAUAGAUUGCAGAUCAUGCUGUAAUUGUCAUAUCUCUUCUCCUGCUACAGCUUGUGGGACACAGAAAACUCUAAAGCAGGACAUGUAAAGUGGGAAUCUAGGAGGAACAAAGAUUUCUGAUCGAGGCAUUCUUACAAGUAAUGUAUAAAGGUAAGGUAAGAAGAAAGGCUUCAUUACCAAAUACAGAUAAAAGGUAUGUUCAUACAUUUCACUGUUAUGCCUUUAUGUUAGUGUUUAUUCCUAUUACUAGAUUUACUCAAAUUAUGUGUGAAAUAGUUAGAUAUUAUAGAAACGUCUUAAAAAUGGCAGUUUGGAAAAAUGUAAAAGUAGUACUGUUACCACCGUUGCACUGUUUAAUAUUAUACAAUCUAAAAUGCUCACAAUAAAAAGUAGGAUUCACUGGAGGGACAAAAAGCACCAUGAAACCAAUUAUUAAACUUCGGACAGACAGGAUUCGCUAUUGCAAAUCCUGUACACAAGACAUCUCUGUGAGCAGACAGCAUAUGCUGUCCCUAUUUAACAUUGUUUAAACUUUGCAACAGCAAUGCUUGUGUAAUGACGCCCCAUUCUCGUUGGCAGCCAAUCGGCUGCUAGCAGGGGCUGUCAAGCAUCCCUAUGGGAUUGGAUCAGGAUUAUUUUAAUUCACCACCUUUUAGGUGGCAGAUAGGUUAAGUAGCAGCAGUCUUAAGACUGCUGCUACUUAACUAUCAUUUCAGGCAAGUCUGAAACGAUGGGCCUCUGAAGCAGCAAUCAUUGUUUGGUAAAUGAGUAGGCAUGGUUAGGCUAUCAUAUCAGACGGAAAGAGGUUGGCAAAUUAUUAUUUGUAGCAGGAACAUCUGAUCAUAGUAAAUAUGUAUAUAUAUAUAAAUAUAUAGCAUUUGAAUGAUGGGAUUCUAUAGAAUAACUAUUCAAAAUGAAACUUAAAAUGUAGUAAAAAUCUGAAAAGAAAAGCAUAAUGCAAUAUGUAAUUCCUAACUUAGAUGUGUCUGCAGACUUGGAGCUUGACUACCCUACGUUUCUCCUACAUGACCCGUUGAGCAUUUUUUUUGACUUUUUUACAAAUUUUUGCAGUGGAGCUCAGUCUGUUUCCUAUCCUGUACUGGAAUUCCAUGUUUUUUUCUAGAGAUCAUUUUACAUAUAGAAGACGUAUACAGUGUUGUGAGAAAACAAUAACUGUAAAUGUGAAAUCUGACAACUGCUUAAGCCAGAUUUGCUUAAUAAAUCCUAACGGUCAAGGGGUAAUAGAUGGCACCUAUUACAUGAGGGCAAAGCUCAAUUAAUUAGCCUAUUGUUCACAUAAAUAACUGUUAUUUAAGCUGUUACAGAUUUAAUAUAUUUUAUCCAUUUUUACUGUGUUCAAAACUUCAAUCCUCAAGCUUACAUCAUCCUAGCCAUUAUGGUGUGCCCAGUGGCGUUCUGUUUUUAACAGAUAAAAAUAUUAUAUAUGAAAUUCUAAUCUACAGGUAACAAUAAUGGGGCAUAUUUAUCAAGCUCUGUAUGGAGCUUGAGGCCCCUUGUUUCCGAUAAGCCUUCAGGCUCGCCGGAAACAGAAGUUAUCAAGAAGUUAUGAAGCAGCGGUCGAAAGACCGCUGCUCCAUAACUUGCCCGUCUGCUCUGAGGCGUACAUCGAAUUUGAUCGGGUUGAUUGACACUCCCUGCUAGCAGCUGAUUGGCUGCAAAUCUGCAGGGGGCAGCAUUGCAUUAGCAGUUCACCAGUACUUUUUGUUAGCCAUCUUACAUUUUUAUGAUUAAAUUCAUUGAACAUCUCUGUGAAAUAUUUAAAUAUUACUGAGAUUUUUUUAAAAUAAAAAAAGCAGUUUAGAUAAACUAAAAGUCACAUUUUCGUCACAGUUACACUAAUUGUAUAAGAUGUGAAUGCUCACAAUAAAAAAAAAGUAGAUUCCACCAGAGAUUAGAGAGCAUCAUAAAAACCAAUCUCAUAUAAAGUAGUCAUAAUUAUGCAAUAAUAUGAGAUGGAAAGGGAUUUGCAAAUUAUUAUUAGUAGCAGAAACAUUUUGAUCAUUGUAAAUAUGAAUAGAUAUAUAGCAUUUGAAUGAUAGGAUUUUAUGGAAUAAUUAUUCAAAAUUAAAUAACAAAUGUAUUAAAAAUCUGAAAAGAAAAGCAUAAUGCAAUAUGUAAUUCCUAACUUAGAUGUGUCUGCAGACUUGGAGCUUGACUACCCUACGUUUCUCCUACAUGACCCGUUGAGCAUUUUUUUACUUUUUACAUUUUUUGCAGUGGAGCUCAGUCUGUUGCAUUUCAUGUACUGGAAUUCCAUGUUUGUUUUUUUCUAGAGAUGAUUUUUUUUUGUGUUGUGAGAUAAAACAAACUGUAAUUUGAAAGCUGAUAACUGCUUAAGCAGCCAGAUUUGCUGAAUCAACUCUAACAGUUAAGGGUUUAUAGACGCACCUAUUACAAGGGGAAAAGUCUCAUUAAAUAAGCUUAUUGUCCAUAUACAGAAUUGUUCAUUAACUUGUUUCAAAUUUUAUAUAUUUUAUUCAUUUUUAUUGUGAUCAAAAAUGUAAUUCUUAGCCUUUCAUCACCCUAGCGAUUAUGGUGUGACUAGUGGCAUACCAUUUUAACAGAAAAAAAUGAAUUACAGGUAUAUGAAAUUCUAAUCUACAUGUAACAAUAAUAUGUUCAAAGUUUCCAAUGUCAUUUGAUAAAUCUAAAUUUGAAACCAUUUUAUUUGUCUAACAAUAAUACCAAAAUCUCGUUGCAUCGAUUGCUGAGCUUAAUCAGGCCUUUCAGUGUUAAUGUUAGUUUACAACUCCUUACAAAUGUAAUAAUGCUCACCUAUUGAAAUAUAGUUUAAAUACACUCAAUAACAUUUAUUUAUAAGAAUUAUGAUUUUUAUGUUUUUUGCUUUUUUCUAAUAUACAUUCAAUACAAUGCAACUGUUUUAAAGAUGUACUGUUGGAAAUAUUCUAUCUUUUGUCCCGUUCUCCUUUCAAUAUAAACCUUUAACCAAUGCAGCUCUUAGUGAAUACAGGAGUAAUAUUUUAUAUCUAUAUGAAUUAUCUAUCUCAUGUCAUAUGUAGUACAUACUCUUUCCAGAGUAUAACAUUCAGGUCAUACAGUACUAAACUUGUGUGUGUACUUGUUAUUUAGCAGUUCUAGGUUUGGCUUGCAAAGAUAUAUUUAGGGUAUUUUUCCAAAAAAACUAGAAAGUAUAUUGAAUUUAUUUUAUUUCCUAACCUCACACUUCCCAGGGAUGAGUAUUUUAUUUGUGUGAGUAAUAAAUAUUGUAAACUAAGCAGAUGUAAUGAAAGUUACUGUAGAUAAGUAAAUAGAAAGCUAAAUUAUGCCUUGGGAUGGAUGUUUGAAACUUGACCAUACCUCAAUUAAAAACCACAUAGACAUUGGAAAGAUAGUAUAACGUUUCUAGGUUAAGCUUAUUAUUUUGUUGUGGGUUUUGUACUUGAUAUUGUUAGAUAGAGAACAUGCAAGUGAUAUGAAUGUAGAAUCUACAGAUGAAAAAUGGUAAUGAUUACGAAGUAUUGUUUAUCUUCCACAUAGAGUAAUUUGAUUUCUUUAUAUUUAAAAAUGAAAUAUGAUAUUGCUCUUUCAAUUUUGGAUUACAUUUUUUUUUUAUAUAUUGGAGCAACUCAGUUACGCAAGUGUGGAAACAAAGAAGAAUGUUUGUAUUUUGAUAUGCAACAAUUGAUUAUUUUAGCUGGUCAAGUAACUUUUUGGGAGCCAUCUUAAAUUAUUAUUAUUAGAUUCAUUGAAUUUCUCUGUGGAAUAUUUCAAUAUUACAGAGGUGUCUUGAAAAUUGCAGUUUGGAAUAAUUUAAAAGUUACAAUUUUAUCACAGCUGCUCUGAUUUUAUAUUAUAAAUGCUAAGAUAAAACAAUUUAGAUUCUACUGGAGAAACUAGAAAGCAUCAAGAAAGUAGUUUCACAUAAAGUAGUCAUGAUUAGGCAAUUAUAGAUUUGCAAAUUAUUAUCAGUAGCAGAAAUAGUAAAUAUGUAUAUCAUUAUAUAUAUAUAAAUGCUAUACAUAACAUUUGAAUGAUGGGAUUCUAUGGAAUAAAUAUUUAAAAUUAAAUUAAAAAAUCUGAAAAGAAAGGCAUAAUGCAAUAUGUAAUUCCUAACUUAGAUGUGUCUGCAGACUUGGAGCUUGACUACCCUACGUUUCUCCUACAUCACCCGUUGAGCAUUUUUUUUUACUUUUUCAAUUUUUUUGCAGUGAAGCUCAGUCUGUUUCCUAUCCUGUACUGGAAUUCCAUGUUUUUUUCUAGAGAUCAUUUUACAUAUAGAAGACGUAUGCAGUGUUGUGAGAAAAAACAACUGUAAAUGUGAAAUCUGGAAACUGCUUGAGCAGCCAGAUUAUCUGAUUUAAUUCUGUCAAUUGAGGGCACCUAUUGCUGGUGAUUUUUUUUUUUAAAAAUUGGUUCAAAUGUAAUAUAUUUUAUCUUUUUUUUUUUACUGUGAUCAAAACUUAAAUUCUCAGCCAUAUAUCAUCCUAGCAACUAUGAUGUAACCAGUGGCAUUCUAUUUUUAACAGAAAAAAAAUAAUUAUAUGAAUUUCUAAUCUACAUGUAACAAUAAUAUGUUAAAAGUGCCUUAUGUUAUUUUACUUACUAAUUUUUUUUGGCUAGAAAUAAUAUUGAAAUCACUUUGCACUGGUUUCUGAGCUUAAUCAGACCUUUUAGUGUUAAUGUUAGUUGUGCAGCUAAAUGUAAUAAUGCCCUCCUAAAGAUAUUUUAAAUACACUUAAUAACAUUUAUUUAUAAGAAAUAUGAUUUUAUCUUUUUGAUUUUUAUAAUAUAAAUUCA